GCGAGCAUAGUUUAAUCGGUAGAACGGGGGUCUCCAAAACCCUUGGCAGGUGUUCGAAUCACCGGGCUCGUG
This 72-nucleotide transfer RNA is filed under the name Sphingobacteriales bacterium. Its description in RNAcentral is "tRNA-Trp". It matches the Rfam family "tRNA". Rfam says of the family: Transfer RNA (tRNA) molecules are approximately 80 nucleotides in length. Their secondary structure includes four short double-helical elements and three loops (D, anti-codon, and T loops). RNAcentral also lists the same sequence under 1 other name. The record is from RNAcentral. Lineage: Bacteria; Pseudomonadati; Bacteroidota; Sphingobacteriia; Sphingobacteriales.